RNAcentral lists this ribosomal RNA (437 nucleotides) under Troglohyphantes orpheus. RNAcentral's name for it is "partial large subunit ribosomal RNA". It matches the Rfam family "Bacterial large subunit ribosomal RNA", at positions 1832 to 2600 of the family's 2925-position model. The record is from RNAcentral. Lineage: Eukaryota; Metazoa; Arthropoda; Arachnida; Araneae; Linyphiidae.
UUCUUAUCCCCUACUCAUAAGUAAAAUCUGCUCCAUGUAAAAUAAAUAGCCGCAGAAUUUUAACUGUGCUAAGGUAGCAUAAUCAUUUACCUUUUAAUUAAAGGUUUGAAUGAAUGAUUUUACAUUUAAAUUACUUUUUUAUUAAAUUUUUUAGAAUUUAAAUUAAACAUAAAAAUGUGUUUAUAAAUUAAAAAGACGACAAGACCCUAUUGAACUUCACUAAAGUUAAGCUGGGGAAGCUAAUUAAAUAUAAUUUUAAUUAAAUUAAAAGAAAAAUCUGAUAUAACCAACCUGAAAAAGUUACCAUAGGGAUAACAGCGUAAUAAUUUUUUAAAGCUCUUAUUAAAAAAAAAGUUUACGACCUCGAUGUUGAAUUAGAAUAUCUUUAAACCGCAAUAGUGCUAAAAGUAGGUCUGUUCGACCUUUAAAAUUCUACA